This 1363-nucleotide ribosomal RNA is filed under the name uncultured bacterium. RNAcentral describes it as "bacterial SSU rRNA". It matches the Rfam family "Bacterial small subunit ribosomal RNA", at positions 28 to 1381 of the family's 1533-position model. The record is from RNAcentral.
AUUGAACGCUGGCGGCAGGCCUAACACAUGCAAGUCGAACGGUAACAGGAAACAGCUUGCUGUUUCGCUGACGAGUGGCGGACGGGUGAGUAAUGUCUGGGAAACUGCCUGAUGGAGGGGGAUAACUACUGGAAACGGUAGCUAAUACCGCAUAACGUCGCAAGACCAAAGAGGGGGACCCUCGGGCCUCUUGCCAUCGGAUGUGCCCAGAUGGGAUUAGCUUGUUGGUGGGGUAACGGCUCACCAAGGCGACGAUCCCUAGCUGGUCUGAGAGGAUGACCAGCCACACUGGAACUGAGACACGGUCCAGACUCCUACGGGAGGCAGCAGUGGGGAAUAUUGCACAAUGGGCGCAAGCCUGAUGCAGCCAUGCCGCGUGUAUGAAGAAGGCCUUCGGGUUGUAAAGUACUUUCAGCGGGGAGGAAGGGAGUAAAGUUAAUACCUUUGCUCAUUGACGUUACCCGCAGAAGAAGCACCGGCUAACUCCGUGCCAGCAGCCGCGGUAAUACGGAGGGUGCAAGCGUUAAUCGGAAUUACUGGGCGUAAAGCGCACGCAGGCGGUUUGUUAAGUCAGAUGUGAAAUCCCCGGGCUCAACCUGGGAACUGCAUCUGAUACUGGCAAGCUUGAGUCUCGUAGAGGGGGGUAGAAUUCCAGGUGUAGCGGUGAAAUGCGUAGAGAUCUGGAGGAAUACCGGUGGCGAAGGCGGCCCCCUGGACGAAGACUGACGCUCAGGUGCGAAAGCGUGGGGAGCAAACAGGAUUAGAUACCCUGGUAGUCCACGCCGUAAACGAUGUCGACUUGGAGGUUGUGCCCUUGAGGCGUGGCUUCCGGAGCUAACGCGUUAAGUCGACCGCCUGGGGAGUACGGCCGCAAGGUUAAAACUCAAAUGAAUUGACGGGGGCCCGCACAAGCGGUGGAGCAUGUGGUUUAAUUCGAUGCAACGCGAAGAACCUUACCUGGUCUUGACAUCCACGGAAGUUUUCAGAGAUGAGAAUGUGCCUUCGGGAACCGUGAGACAGGUGCUGCAUGGCUGUCGUCAGCUCGUGUUGUGAAAUGUUGGGUUAAGUCCCGCAACGAGCGCAACCCUUAUCCUUUGUUGCCAGCGGUCCGGCCGGGAACUCAAAGGAGACUGCCAGUGAUAAACUGGAGGAAGGUGGGGAUGACGUCAAGUCAUCAUGGCCCUUACGACCAGGGCUACACACGUGCUACAAUGGCGCAUACAAAGAGAAGCGACCUCGCGAGAGCAAGCGGACCUCAUAAAGUGCGUCGUAGUCCGGAUUGGAGUCUGCAACUCGACUCCAUGAAGUCGGAAUCGCUAGUAAUCGUGGAUCAGAAUGCCACGGUGAAUACGUUCCCGGGCAU